Molecule: ribosomal RNA, 484 nt
Filed under: uncultured bacterium
Lineage: Bacteria
Description: partial 16S ribosomal RNA
Rfam family: Bacterial small subunit ribosomal RNA
Source: RNAcentral
AUUGAACGCUAGCGGGAUGCUUUACACAUGCAAGUCGAACGGCAGCGCGGACUUCGGUCUGGCGGCGAGUGGCGAACGGGUGAGUAAUGUAUCGGAACGUGCCCAGUAGCGGGGGAUAACUACGCGAAAGCGUAGCUAAUACCGCAUACGCCCUACGGGGGAAAGCCGGGGAUCGUAAGACCUUGCACUAUUGGAGCGGCCGAUAUCGGAUUAGCUAGUUGGUGAGGUAACGGCUCACCAAGGCGACGAUCCGUAGCUGGUGUGAGAGGACGACCAGCCACACUGGGACUGAGACACGGCCCAGACUCCUACGGGAGGCAGCAGUGGGGAAUUUUGGACAAUGGGGGCAACCCUGAUCCAGCCAUCCCGCGUGUGCGAUGAAGGCCUUCGGGUUGUAAAGCACUUUUGGCAGGAAAGAAACGUCGCGGGCUAAUACCCCGUGGAACUGACGGUACCUGCAGAAUAAGCACCGGCUAACUACGUG